CUUUAGUGCAGUCUCAGGUCGGCAUAAGCACCAUCAGCAGCAGUCAUUAGGUAGUGUAGGAUCUGUUGUUAGUACUAGUGGUAUAAUACCAGUGUCAAUAACUCGUGGACUCACUGAUAGACUAGUGGAGAAGAGAAAAGGAGCUGCUCUUGAAUUAGAAAGGUUACUAAAAGAUCAUGUCACUAAAUAUAAAGAGUUCAGCCACAUAAAGGACAUCAUAUCAUAUCUUAAAGAUGACUACACUUUAUCCUCCAACCCAAACUCAAGGAAAGAAGGUUUAGUGGGACUGGCCGCCACAGCAAUAGCACUUGGGAUGUCUUGUAUUGUUACAAAUCUACCAGUACUAGUUUAGCCAGUGUUGGUCUGGUUUGAUGAUCAGGAUGCUCGUGUUCAUUAUUAUGCUUGUGAGUCUCUCUACAAUAUUUCUAAAGUCACCACUGAGAGGAGCUGUUCUUGUGCUCUUUAAUGCAAUGUUUAAUGGACUUUGUAAGGUCUUGUCCUUGUACUUCUAGUCAGUUGUUUCAUUUUGGUUGGAUACUCUAUGUUCACAUUAAAAAUCAGUUCUCAUUAUUUAUUAUUAUGUUGUAUUGACAUGUUAUGUGCAGCUGCUGUGAUCGGUAAAAGACACGAUCUAUUGCGCAAUGACUUCACACCUCCCUCUCUCUCCCGGCAGUAACACCUGAUUGUGACUCCACCCCCUCGCUAAUAAUUCAUGACUAUCUUGCUAUAUUACUGGAACUAUUCAGGCAAUA
Long non-coding RNA from Amphimedon queenslandica, 752 nucleotides. RefSeq lists it as uncharacterized. The record is from RefSeq and is a predicted model, not a curated record. The transcript has 5 exons. NCBI's taxonomy places the organism in Eukaryota, Metazoa, Porifera, Demospongiae, Haplosclerida, Niphatidae.